CACAGACAACUGCAGAGCUGGAGGACUUUGCUCCACCUAUAAAAGCAGAUAUCAAGGCACUAAUGACAGAAAUCAAUGCGGAUAUGGCAGUAUCUAAGCAAACUAAUAAGGUGCAGGCAGUAAAGGAAAGCAUGGAAGGCACCAAGCUAGCACAAUCGGCUACUGAUGCUGCUAUAGGAGCGCUACAGAAACCAAGCGUAGAGCAACAGGCACAGAUAGCCACCAUGGAGGACAGGGCCAGAGCACAACUUGAGA
This is a non-coding RNA of Pelobates cultripes (western spadefoot toad), 255 nucleotides long. The record is from the annotation of a GenBank genome assembly. NCBI's taxonomy places the organism in Eukaryota, Metazoa, Chordata, Amphibia, Anura, Pelobatidae.